RNAcentral lists this non-coding RNA (734 nucleotides) under Gunungidia aurantiifasciata. The record is from RNAcentral. Lineage: Eukaryota; Metazoa; Arthropoda; Insecta; Hemiptera; Cicadellidae. RNAcentral also lists the same sequence under 1 other name.
UAAUAGUUUUAUUAGUUCUAAAAAAUUAAUUAUUUGUAAUGAUUAUAUGAAUUUAUUUAAAAUUUAAUAUUUCAGUAAUAAGUUUUUUAAUUUUAUUUAAUUUUUAUUAAGCUAUAUAUUAAUUUUGGAAAUAAAUUGUGCCAGCAUUCGCGGUUACACAAUUCAAAAAAAUUAAUUUUGUUAGUUUUAAUUUUAAGUUUAUACGAAUAUAAUUUUAUUUUAUUUAGGUGGAAUUUUUAAUUUUAUUUAUUUUCUUAUAUUUAAUUGUUAAUAAAUCUUUAUUUAAAAUUAGGAUUAGAUACCCUAUUAUUAAUUGAUUUAAUAUUUUUAUACUAUAACAUUAAUAGUUUAUUUUCUAUCAAAUUUAAAUAAUUUGGCGGUAACUUAUUAUUAGGGGAACCUGUACUUUAAUUGAUAAACCACGAUAUAUUUUACUUUAAUUAUUAUAUUUGUAUAUCUCUAUAUUUGGGGUAUUUUUACAGAAAUACCUUUUUUCUGUUUAAGUUUCAUAUUAGGUCAAGGUGCAGUUAUUAUUAAAGUAAAUAUGGGUUACUUUAAUUUUAAAUAAUUUGGAUAGUUAUUUUUUAUUUAAGUUGAAAUAGGAUUUAAUAGUAAUUUAAAGCUAUUUCUUUAUUUGAAUUUAAAUUUAAGUUAUGCACAUAUUGCCCGUCGCUCUCAUUUAAAUUGGGAUAAGUCGUAACAAAGUAAUUGUACUGGAAAGUGUAAUUAGAUUA